UUAUCGCCUCACUUCCUGUAAAGGAGCUGGGUUUGAGGUGGGCUUCCUCUUUAGCAGGGACCCAAGAUGGCUGCCGCAGAAGACACACCCAAAUGACAUGGCUCCCGGCCAGCCAGCUGUACAACCAAGCCCUCCAGUUCCACCAUUGACAGAUGCUACUCCUGGCCUUACUUGUUGGAGAGACGGAGAACAAAUGGCAGGAAGUGGAUGCCAGGAUGCGCCGAGGGGCUCCUUACACCUGCUUUUAAGCUGACGUGCUUCAACAUGUCGCCUCCGUCCGCCCUUCUCUCUCCUCCUCCCCCCGGAGACCUCGUCAUCACCGACUGUGGAAACUUCACACCGGACCUCAUGCAACUUCAAAUGGAGUGUAAACUUUACUCCCAUCUGAAACAUUUCACGCCAUCUCCACACCGGCGAUGACAGGAUGUCGGAUGCAAUUACCGACGUGGCAACACUUUAACGAAUAGCCAGAUAAAACGCCUUCCUCUGCAAACCGAUUCCUAUUUUUAGCGCAGAUAUAGUACGUUGCAAAAAGGAUUUAUUGUCUUGAAACUUGCCUAAAUCAUCUUUUGGAAAGAAAGAAGGGGUGAUAUAUACUGUAUAUAUACAGUAUAUAUUUUUCUUCCCAAAAUCACUUUCGUUAUUUGAAAUGCUGGGAAUUAAUUUCAACAAGCAUUUAAAAAAAAAGAAACUGAUUUA
Molecule: long non-coding RNA, 699 nt
Organism: Xiphophorus couchianus (Monterrey platyfish)
Lineage: Eukaryota; Metazoa; Chordata; Actinopteri; Cyprinodontiformes; Poeciliidae
Exons: 5
Source: RefSeq, a predicted model, not a curated record